This 439-nucleotide ribosomal RNA is filed under the name uncultured Pantoea sp. RNAcentral's name for it is "bacterial SSU rRNA". It matches the Rfam family "Bacterial small subunit ribosomal RNA", at positions 958 to 1397 of the family's 1533-position model. Lineage: Bacteria; Pseudomonadati; Pseudomonadota; Gammaproteobacteria; Enterobacterales; Erwiniaceae. The record is from RNAcentral.
AACGCGAAGAACCUUACCUGGCCUUGACAUCCAGAGAACUUAGCAGAGAUGCUUUGGUGCCUUCGGGAACUCUGAGACAGGUGCUGCAUGGCUGUCGUCAGCUCGUGUUGUGAAAUGUUGGGUUAAGUCCCGCAACGAGCGCAACCCUUAUCCUUCGUUGCCAGCGGCUCGGCCGGGAACUCAAAGGAGACUGCCGGUGAUAAACCGGAGGAAGGUGGGGAUGACGUUAAGUCAUCAUGGCCCUUACGGCCAGGGCUACACACGUGCUACAAUGGCGCAUACAAAGAGAAGCGACCUCGCGAGAGCAAGCGGACCUCAUAAAGUGCGUCGUAGUCCGGAUUGGAGUCUGCAACUCGACUCCAUGAAGUCGGAAUCGCUAGUAAUCGUAGAUCAGAAUGCUACGGUGAAUACGUUCCCGGGCCUUGUACACACCGCCCGU